UACGAAGGGGGCUAGCGUUGUUCGGAAUUACUGGGCGUAAAGCGUGCGCAGGCGGCUUCUCAAGUCAGGGGUGAAAGCCCAGAGCUCAACUCUGGAACUGCCUUUGAGACUGAGAGGCUUGAGUACGGGAGAGGUGAGUGGAAUUCCCAGUGUAGAGGUGAAAUUCGUAGAUAUUGGGAAGAACACCGGUGGCGAAGGCGGGUCUCUGGGCAGUAACUGACGCUGAGGAGCGAAAGCGUGGGGAGCGAACAGG
This 253-nucleotide ribosomal RNA is filed under the name uncultured bacterium. RNAcentral's name for it is "partial 16S ribosomal RNA". It matches the Rfam family "Bacterial small subunit ribosomal RNA", at positions 524 to 776 of the family's 1533-position model. The record is from RNAcentral.